RNAcentral lists this long non-coding RNA (1422 nucleotides) under Heterocephalus glaber (naked mole-rat). Its description in RNAcentral is "lncRNA (ENSHGLG00000037216.1)". Lineage: Eukaryota; Metazoa; Chordata; Mammalia; Rodentia; Bathyergidae. The record is from RNAcentral.
ACCGUCUUCGCGCGGCCCGUCCCGCCCCGGCCACCGUCGCCGGGCCGCCGCCACGUUCCAGAGGAGGGCGGACGGAUUCCACAUGUAAGAGAAAACGUGAGACCCGUCUUUCCGAAUCUGGCUUAACAUAAUGAUCUUCACUUCCAUCCAUUUUACUGCAGAUGACAUGAUUUCAUUUUCCUUUAUGGCUGAAUAAUACUCUAUUGUAUGCCCUCUGUCCCUUAGGAUUAUGAAGGUUGAAGGAUUAUGAAGGCUUCUUCUGGAUCCCAACAGUGGUGCAACCAUAAUUGGUGCCUGAGGCUAAAAAUGUGGCCUUCAUAAGAUGUUCAGACUUAAUAAAAUGUUUUAUUUUUCACAAAGGAUCAGAGUAUUUUUCCUAUCAUAAUUUAAUUUUUAUUCCUUUCACUGUUCAUAACGUUUUGGAAGCCCAAGUCUGAAGUUUGUUUUUUUUUUCACCCACAAUUCCUUUGUUAAAUGAGUUACUGGCUUAUAGUGUUAUGUGACACUCUUAAAUGCUGGGAUGCCUUCAGAGGAUAAAAGAGUGGUGUAUUUUUUUCUGCUCUCUCCAUCAAAUAGAUGAAAUCUACAAAUUAGGGAAAAUUAACCUUUCAGUUUUUCCUUUCCCAUUCACCCCUUUGCAGUGAUGAAUGGAAUGCAUUCAAAUCUCUGCAUAGAAGGUUCGUAUUUAGUGCAGUGAGUGACAGGCUCUGAUCAGCUGUGACCUAAUUAAUGCAUCACAUGUCUCCUAAGAAUCUUUUUGUUUAUAUAUGCACCGUCUUCUGUAGAUAACUUUUAAAAAUAACCAAUGUUUAAACUUUUUGCUAAUGCCAUUUUUGUUGGCCCAUUUCUUCUUUCUAAUGUUUUGGGAAGACAAGUUGUCAGAGUCUGUUGGAAAUUUUCCUUUAGUGGAGGAGAAGGUAGACUCCUGGGACUGGACUGAGAUUUUCAGAACAUUUUGGUUCAUAAACAACAUUGGAAGAGAACCACGCUGGUUCAAGAUCUGUCAUUACCAACACAGAGAAAAAUUCCUUCCCCUCUCCCUCAGCACUCAUUUUGCUCAGUAUCUGACACAGCCUGCUCUUAUCUCCACUGGCCUGGCCCAGAGUUCUUAGCUUCAGUUGGUGAAUUGAUGAGUCCCUUGUGGUAUAUCACUCUACACUGUCUCCCCCACCCCUUCCUCCCUGAAAUGAUGGGAUACUUCUGUGAGCACCAGUACUAUCCUUGUGUUUUAUUUCUGCCUAAAAACCAGUAUCCUAUAACCCAGGCACGGAGGUCCUCACGAGAAAUCAAUGCUACUUUGAUGUUGCUCAUUUUAUUAGCCUUCUAGAACUGCAUAACAAAAUAUGAUAGCCAGUAUGGCUUAAACAACAGAAAUUUAUUUCUCACAGUCUGGACCCUGAAAAUCCAAGAUCAAGGUGCUAG